GUGCCAGCAGCCGCGGUAAUACGAAGGUCCCGAGCGUUGUUCGGAAUCACUGGGCGUAAAGGGAGCGUAGGCGGCGCGGUAAGUCAGAUGUGAAAUCCCGGGGCUCAACCCCGGAACUGCAUCCGAUACUGCCGUGCUAGAGUAAUGGAGAGGUAGCUGGAAUUAUCGGUGUAGCAGUGGAAUGCGUAGAUAUCGAUAGGAACACUCGUGGCGAAAGCGAGCUACUGGACAUUUACUGACGCUGAGGCUCGAAGGCUAGGGGAGCGAAAGGGAUUAGAUACCCCUGUAGUCCUAGCAGUAAACGGUGCACGCUUGGUGUGAGGGGAAUCGACCCCCCUUGUGCCGGAGCUAACGCGUUAAGCGUGCCGCCUGGGAAGUACGGUCGCAAGACUAAAACUCAAAGAAAUUGACGGGGACCCGCACAAGCGGUGGAGUAUGUGGCUUAAUUCGAUGCAACGCGAAGAACCUUACCAAGGCUUGACAUGCAUCUCUAAACACGUGAAAGCGUGUGACCCUUCGGGGAAUUUGCACAGGUGCUGCAUGGCCGUCGUCAGCUCGUGUCGUGAGAUGUUGGGUUAAGUCCCGCAACGAGCGCAACCCUUGUGAUUAGUUGCCAGCACGUAAUGGUGGGGACUCUAGUCAGACUGCCCAGAUCAACUGGGAGGAAGGUGGGGACGACGUCAGGUCAGUAUGGCCCUUACGCCUUGGGCUGCACACGUACUACAAUGCCCAGCACAAUGAGAACCGAUACCGCGAGGUGGAGGAAAUCUGUAAAACUGGGCCCAGUUCGGAUUGGAGGCUGCAACUCGCCUCCACGAAGUUGGAAUCGCUAGUAAUGGGGCAUCAUCUACGGCCCCGUGAAUACGUUCCCGGG
RNAcentral lists this ribosomal RNA (874 nucleotides) under uncultured Verrucomicrobiaceae bacterium. RNAcentral's name for it is "bacterial SSU rRNA". It matches the Rfam family "Bacterial small subunit ribosomal RNA", at positions 505 to 1378 of the family's 1533-position model. The record is from RNAcentral. Lineage: Bacteria; Pseudomonadati; Verrucomicrobiota; Verrucomicrobiia; Verrucomicrobiales; Verrucomicrobiaceae.